UGCCAUGUGCUUCUGGGAUCACAAGGAAGGGUGACGAAUCAACCAAAGGAAACUGCAGUCUCCUCAGUGUAAAGGGAGGAAGACCAGCCAAUCAGUGAUGGAAGAAUGGACGAAGCAGCUCCACAGAGGCAGCAGGCCUCUCCUCCUUAAAACAACGUUUCACUCCGUGUUCCUGAGUGUCUGGGAAACUGGUGGGGUAAGGAUUAAAGCGUGACGGACAUAGUUUCCUACUCAUAUUCUUUCAGUGGGUAUAAGGCACAAGUAAACCUGACCUGCCUGGCGAAUCUUACGUAGAGGCAGGUAAAAUCAUUUGCUGAGGAAGGACAGUCUCCAAAAGCACCAGUUUUACAACAUGAAUCAGAUCACGUCACCCCCUUGCUUAAAACCCUUCAUGGUGUAAUUGCUGUCCUCAGAAUAAAAUCCACCCUACCUCCCAGAGCCCACAAGCAUUGCCUGUCCUCUGCAACCACAUCUCUUGUGUUCUCAUUCUAACUCACUAAGUCUUGGUCAUCUUAAGCCAAACUCUUCCCCACUCAAGCUCUUGUCUUGACCAUGGCUGGACAGUCUUCCUCCUGGACUUCAGAAGGCUGACUCAUUCCGGUGCUCCAGGUCUCAGUGCCAAUACCACCCAGUUAGAGAGGCCUUCCUGAUCCAUCCAUUCCCACCCGACCUCUCCCAUCCACCAUGCUGAUCUUCCCAGCACCGACCUCAGUGCACCUGUUUCUUGUUUACUGUCUGCCUUUAUCACAAAGCCAGGGGCACAACUAUCAUGUUCCUUGUGUCCACCACAGUGAGAGGCAACAGAAUAAUGUUAGGUAAAUAUUUGUUGGCUGGAUGAAUAGACAUGUUUGGAGGAAUGAAAGAAAAUGUGGUCAAGUACUUAUUUAAUCAAAGUAAUUUGUCACGAGACAUGUUUCUACAAUAUUUUCUUAGCCUCUUUGCUGAAAACUCUAUCUUGUCCUGCUUUACUUUACCCCAUCUUCCUGCUGGAAAAACAGUCGCAGUGACGGUGAAUGACUUAAGCUUAAGAACAAAGACCUAAAGGCAUAAGUUAUUCAUAGGGUCAGCUGAAUGAGGACUUAAUGCGUUGGUCCAGGUAUGCUGGACCUGUGCAGACUGGCACACUGUUUGCACAGCAUGAUAUGUCCUCUUAAGAAUAAAAGAGGAGCCCCAUAGCCCCAAGGGGUUUAUGAGGGGUCGUUAGCUGGAUAUGCAUUAGCAAAGAAGAACUGAGCUGCAAACCUAGGCACCCGGGUUGCUGCAGAUAGGCACGCUGGCUGCAGAAGCACAAUGGUGAUUCUCUAGAUGCUAUGCAUAGAUAGCUGAUUCCAAGCUUCCUCAAAUGCUAAUGAUUGUUAAAUUCCUAAAGGUCAAAAUAAAAGCUUAAUCAGCAACCGGCUAUAUGACUUUUAAAAUAACUUAAAAAAAAACCUAUAUCCUGCACCUACAACCCCCUUCUCACAUGACUUAAUCCUAAAAAACACAAUAAAAGCAGUGUGGUUUCUUCAGGUGGCACUCUUGGUCCCUGAGACCUUGAGUCCCCUGGUUCCCACCUUUACUUAAGAUAAAUGUCUCUGUGUCUUGUUUUAACUUUUUCCCCUAAUUUUCACAGCACCUGUUCUUCAGCCCCAUCCUGCUGAGCUGGUCUCGGCAGUAAUUCAUAAAGAUCUUUUAAAAAAUACUCAUGUCCUGUCCUCACCCAGGUUUUAGGAGAGAGAAGCUAGGAAAGAGGAGGGCUAAAGCCUGGGUUUCCAGGUGUGUGAAGUUCUUGAUGAGGCUGAAAAAAAGGCCAACUGGUAGGAGCUUCACUGUAAAGAUUAAAGAAGCAGGUUCUUCAUUGCUUGCGUGGUACUUGCCAAGGGUUCCAAUGAACCCAUGAGGAGGUAAGAUAUAUUUAUACACUGAAUAUCCAUUUUGAGUUUACACAAAGGACUUCUCAGGUGACUGUGAGUAAGCCAUUUGGGUAAGUUUCUGUGCUCUUAAAUGAACCAUGUUUAUGGAGAGAAGUGAUGAGGCUUGUUAAUUUACAUUUGUAAAAACACUGAAAUCUCUGGAUGAAAGAAUUUCUGCAGAGAGGUACAAAGGAUGAGGUAACAUUUGGGGGUCAAAUUCUACCCUUUUGCAGAAGAGGAGAGGGAGGAGGCAGGCUCUAGGACUUACCAGGAGCCUCUGGCACAUUAUUUUUCAAGUCAAUCUUCUAAGAAAACUGCCUGUUUUCAAGUGUAUUCAUCACACACACCAGUUACUAUGCUAUUAACUAUUUUCCUUCUCUCCUAAAAUCCUAGCUUUGUGUAAAGGGAAUCUUGAGGGGGAUUUGCCUGUGAGGUUUUCCCUCUACAGUGCUUUUUUUCGUUUGUUCAUUUUCACCCUACAUCAGUGAUAGCAGUUCCCAAGCAUGAGUCUUUGUUGCUGAGCUGAUUGGGACCCAAACAAGGUCAGUUCAUCAAUUCUUGACAGAUGUUUACAAGGUACAGUCAGAGAUUAGAGUAAGCUUAGGAGCGAGAAAAGAGAAAGAAUUUCAAAGAAAGCUGCCCGUCUAUGAGUUCAUUAUAUCCAUUUAUAGAAAACAGUAUUAGUAGUUACUCAAGAAUUAAUACCAAUAGGGUAGAACCUAUUCUUAGGAUAAUCAUCUCUUUCAGCAAGGUAAACACAGACUCAGAGAUAAGACAUUAACUGUGAAACUGCCAAGGCAAAAGCUAAGCUUAAAAAAAAAAGGCAACCACCUUUUCAAAAUGCCACAGAAAUUACACACUUGUGACUGCCCACAAGAACAUGUACCUUUCUUAUAUUUUUCUGGACCUAGUUUUGUUCUCUUUGGGUGGGAGGUGGGUAAUCCACACUCGAGUUACUUGCUCUCAAGAACAAGAAGGACUUACCUGCCUUCUACACCUUGCUCUCCUUGAAAGGAGACUGAGCUCCUUGUGAGUCCAGGCAAGCUAUGUGUCAUGGGAAAUGUGCCUUCAGAAGGUGGAAGGGCUUUCUGGUCCUUCUCUGUAGAUCAUUUCUCUGUGGGAUUUUUUUUUUUUAACAGCCGCACCUGUGGCAUAUGGAAGUUCCCAGCUCUAAAAAAAGCAAAAAAAAAAAAAAAAAAAAAAA
RNAcentral lists this long non-coding RNA (3096 nucleotides) under Sus scrofa (pig). RNAcentral describes it as "lncRNA (ENSSSCG00045018531.1)". The record is from RNAcentral. Lineage: Eukaryota; Metazoa; Chordata; Mammalia; Artiodactyla; Suidae.